GGCCCCUAUGCUUACAAAAGAGUACNUUUACUCUUCAAAUAUCAUUGUUUCAUUUCACUAAGCAGUUAAUAUUAUUUAUACCUCUAUCGCCCCAAUAAAAUAUAACGUUAAAUUAAAUCUUUAAAAUCCAAUUAAAUUUAACUAGCAUAUAAAGUUUUAUAGGGUCUUAUCGUCCAA
Molecule: ribosomal RNA, 177 nt
Filed under: Heteropilumnus ciliatus
Lineage: Eukaryota; Metazoa; Arthropoda; Malacostraca; Decapoda; Pilumnidae
Description: partial 16S ribosomal RNA
Source: RNAcentral